GCCAGACUCCUACGGGAGGCAGCAGUGGGGAAUAUUGCACAAUGGGGGAAACCCUGAUGCAGCGACGCCGCGUGAGUGAAGAAGUAUUUCGGUAUGUAAAGCUCUAUCAGCAGGAACGAGACAAGACGGUACCUGACUAAGAAGCCCCGGCUAACUACGUGCCAGCAGCCGCGGUAAUACGUAGGGGGCAAGCGUUAUCCGGAAUCACUGGGUGUAAAGGGAGCGUAGACGGCUGAGCAAGCCUGAAGUGAAAGGCGGGGGCCCAACCCCUGGACUGCUUUGGGAACUGUACGGCUGGAGUGCAGGAGAGGUAAGUGGAAUUCCUAGUGUAGCGGUGAAAUGCGUAGAUAUUAGGAGGAACACCAGUGGCGAAGGCGGCUUACUGGACGGUAACUGACGUUGAGGCUCGAAAGCGCGGGGAGCAAACAGGAUUAGAUACCCGUGUAUUC
This 449-nucleotide ribosomal RNA is filed under the name uncultured bacterium. RNAcentral describes it as "bacterial SSU rRNA". It matches the Rfam family "Bacterial small subunit ribosomal RNA", at positions 330 to 795 of the family's 1533-position model. The record is from RNAcentral.